Molecule: ribosomal RNA, 429 nt
Filed under: uncultured archaeon
Lineage: Archaea
Description: bacterial SSU rRNA
Rfam family: Archaeal small subunit ribosomal RNA
Source: RNAcentral
UACCAGCUCUCCGAGUGGUAGGGAUGAUUAUUGGGCUUAAAGCGUCCGUAGCCGGCUUAGCAAGUCUCCUGUUAAAUUCAGCGACCUAAUCGUUGAGCCGCGGGAGACACUACUAGGCUAGGAGGCGGGAGAGGCCGACGGUAUUCUCGGGGUAGGGGUGAAAUGCUAUAAUCCCGGGAGGACCACCAGUGGCGAAGGCUGUCGGCUAGAACGCGCUCGACGGUGAGGGACGAAAGCUGGGGGAGCGAACCGGAUUAGAUACCCGGGUAGUCCCAGCUGUAAACGAUGCGGGCUAGGUGUUGGGGUGGCUACGAGCCACUUCAGUGCCGCAGGGAAGCCAUUAAGCCCGCCGCCUGGGGAGUACGGCCGCAAGGCUGAAACUUAAAGGAGUUGGCGGGGGAGCACCACAAGGCGUGAAGCUUGCGGUUC